Molecule: ribosomal RNA, 1025 nt
Filed under: uncultured Neocallimastigales
Lineage: Eukaryota; Fungi; Neocallimastigomycota; Neocallimastigomycetes; Neocallimastigales
Description: partial large subunit ribosomal RNA
Rfam family: Eukaryotic large subunit ribosomal RNA
Source: RNAcentral
CGCAUCUGUGCAUGCAGCAUAUCAAUAAGCGGAGGAAAAGAAACUAACAAGGAUUCCCCUAGUAACGGCGAGUGAAGCGGGAAGAGCUCAAAUUUGAAAUCUUAAAGGGUUUCCCUUUACGAAUUGUAGUUUAAAGAAGUGUUUUCUGUUGAGGUUUUGGUAAAAGUUCUUUGGAAUAGGACAUCAUAGAGGGUGAGAAUCCUGUAUUUGACCUUUACUUUCAACUUUGUGAUACACUUUCAAAGAGUCGGAUUGUUUGGGAAUGCAGUCCAAAAUGGGUGGUAAAUUUCAUCUAAAGCUAAAUAUUGGCGAGAGACCGAUAGCGAACAAGUACCGUGAGGGAAAGAUGAAAAGAACUUUGAAAAGAGAGUUAAACAGUACGUGAAAUUGUCAAAAGGGAAGCGUUUGACACCAGUGUUGUUUUCUCGAAAAUCAAUUAAAAAGAGUUAGAUUUUGUUGUGUAUUGACCUUAACAGCUUGCAUUUCAAUUUUCUUGCUUUUUUUAAUGCACUUUUCGUUUAACAAGUCAACAUCAGUUUCUUUUGUUGUAAAAAGGUCAUUGGAAGGUGGCUUUCUUUUCGGAGAAAGUGUUUAUAGCCUUUGACUCCUGCAAUCGGAGAGACUGAAGUCUGCAGCGUAGAUCCUUCGGGGUUAGAUACAUUUGUGCUAAGUUAUAGCUUUUUAUAGACAACUUGUUGACUAUGAUUAGUCUUGUAGCUUACUCGCUUAUGCUAUUUUACCUACGCUUAGGAUGUUGACGAGACUGUCGAUCUCAUCUAUACAUGACUCUGUGCAUAUCAAUAAGCGGAGGAAAAGAGGGCUAUUACCUACGCUUAGGAUGUUGACGAGACUGUCGAUCUCAUCUAUACAUGACUCUGUGCAUAUCAAUAAGCGGAGGAAAAGGAGUAUACCUACGCUUAGGAUGUUGACACACGCGCGUGCACGCAUCUGUGCAUGCAGCAUAUCAAUAAGCGGAGGAAAAGUCAACUACCUACGCUUAGGAUGUUGACGAGACUGUCGAUCUC